This 936-nucleotide ribosomal RNA is filed under the name uncultured bacterium. Its description in RNAcentral is "bacterial SSU rRNA". It matches the Rfam family "Bacterial small subunit ribosomal RNA", at positions 1 to 826 of the family's 1533-position model. The record is from RNAcentral.
AUCCCAAAUUUUUCCCAGGGAGGGAACCCAGUUAAUUCCAAUUUGGCGAAAUUUUAAUUUCUUGUAGCCUUCAAAACUUUUUUAAUGCAAGAGUUUGAUCAUUGUCUCAUGACUGGACGCCGGCGGCCAGGCCUUACCACAUGCAUAUCCAACCGGUUAACAAGGAAACAACCUGCUUCUUCCCUGACCAAAUGGCCGGGCCGGGUGAGUAAUUUCUGUGAAAACUGCCUGAAGGAGGGGGGAUAACUACUGGAAAUCGGGUAGCUAAUUCCGCAUUACCUUGCAAAAACCAAAAGAGGGGGGACCGUCGGGCCCUCUUGCCAUCGAAUGUGCCCAGAUGGGAUUAGCUUGUAGGAGGGGUAACGGCUCACCUAGGCGUCGAUCCCUAGCUAAUCUGAGAGGAUGACCAGCCUCAUUGGAAAUGAGCCACGGUCCAGAGUCCUACGGGAGGCAGCAGUGGGGAAUAUUGCACAACGGGCGCAAGCAUUAUGCAGCCAUGCCGCGCGUAAGAAGAAGGCCUUCGGGUAGUAAAGUACUUUCAGCGGGUAGGAAGGGAGUAAAGUUAAUACCUUUGCUCAUUGACGUUACCCACAGAAGAAGCACCGGCUAACUCCGUGCCAGCAGCCGCGGUAAUAUGGAGGGUGCAAGCGUUAUUUUGAAUUAUUGGGCGUAAAGCGCACGCAGGCGGUUUGUUAAGUCAGAUGUGAAAUCCCCGGGCUCAACCUGGGAACUGCAUCUGAUACUGGCAAGCUUGAGUGUCGUGGAGGGGGGUAGAAUUCCAGGUGUAGCGGUGAAAUGCGUAGAGAUUUGGAGGAAUCCCGGUGGCGAAGGCGGCCCCCUGGACGAAGACUGACGCUCAGGUGCGAAAGCGUGGGGAGCACACCGGAUUAGAUUCCCUGGGAGUCCACCCCGUCAUCUUAAAAGACUUGGAGGUUG